UGAGGAAUAUUGGUCAAUGGGCGGGAGCCUGAACCAGCCAAGCCGCGUGAGGGAAUAAGGCCCUACGGGUCGUAAACCUCUUUGUCGGGGAACAAAAGCGGGGACGUGUCCCCGUCUGCGUGUA
Molecule: ribosomal RNA, 124 nt
Filed under: uncultured bacterium
Lineage: Bacteria
Description: partial 16S ribosomal RNA
Rfam family: Bacterial small subunit ribosomal RNA
Source: RNAcentral